GUAUGUAUUUAGUUACUUGGCUGGUUUUUUGUAUUUUCUCUCAAGUUAUACGCGUGCACUUAAUGCUGGCCAAACUUUUCAUAUGAAAUUACUUAUGUAUGUACGUUGACUCGGGGGUUUUUGAGAAUUAAGUGGAUAAUUUCCAUCGUGAGUGACCACCCUGGAUGAGUCCAUUAUAAAAUUGAAUUGGUCAUGCAACCAGACACAUGUGCAAUUCAGUUUUUAAUUGGUUUGGCGACUUUGAAAAUUUAUCAGGAUUUUGAGUAAAACCUUUGGGAAAGUCAGGAACCCCUUGUUGUGUUGGUACAAAUUAUGAGAAGACAGAAUGUUGACGGGUAAAUUUUCCUCAAAGGCUGGGCAAUUGUCUACUCGCAAAUGAUAAUUGGGCUCAUCCAACCCCAUUUCACAUGCCCGAAAGAGGAGAAGACCAAUAAAAUAGAAAAAAGAGCCGAAAGGAAGGAAGUGAUGUAAAGUGGAGUAAUUUUGAGGAGAUGGAACAAUCGGCAACUCGCCAUCGUCUGUCUGAUCUGUAAAUCAGUGGAAUUUGUAAAUUGAGACCAGCUCCCAUUUCAGCUACUUUGUUUAACAAUUGUUAAAGUAAUGAGGUCUAUUGAAUCCAAGGGGGAAAAUUGAUAAAAAGAAAAUCAGGAAACAUUGGAGAUUAUUGGAUAUAACUCACGAAAAUAGGAUUAUCUAUUCUAAUUUUGAAGAAUAUUUAUGAUCAAUAUAACGUAUCUGCUUUUGAUUUUCUUAUGUAGGAAAAAUUCUUCACCCGUAAUACUUCAAACUACUAAUUUGUAUCCAAGAAAGACUCAAAUUUUGGAUUUCAUGGAAAGGAACUGUCAAAAUGAGCCAACUUUUCCACAUUUCACAUUCAUCUCAUUUUCCAAAGAAAACUUGAGCCUUGGGCAGUAUCCAUCCACCUUCUUGGUUUGACACCUGACGUUUUUCCGAAUUAUGCAAUUCUUUCCUUCAUCACGCUGCUGCUGCUGAAAACGAAAACUUGAAAGCGAUAAUAUGUAAAGGAAAGUGGGAAAAUAUUAUGCAGGAAAUACAACCUUAAGGCAAACAGUCAAUUUUUGUAAAGUUACUGAUACAGUUCGGUCAGCAUUGUAUAAAGCUGAGAAAAAAACAGAGAAGUGAUCUUGUGCCCACAAGGAGUGGAAAAUUACACAAAAAGUUAUAAAAAAAUAUUAGAUUUUUCUCUGGAUAAAUAAGUUUUAUAGAUAAAAACGGUCCCCAAAAAACAUUAAUUGUUAAUAUAUUCAACUCAAGCUAACAAUUUUUUAACAAUUUUUUAGUAAUUUUCGAUUUUUACAAUAAUUUUAUAAUAAUUUUACCUGAAAAUAUCACUGAAAUUGCGUAGGACGUAUGUAAACGUGACUUGGUGUACAUAUGCUGGAGUCAAAUUUAUUUAUAAAGGAUUUUUGAAGGAUUUAAACAUCA
Folsomia candida is the source of this 1446-nucleotide long non-coding RNA. RefSeq lists it as uncharacterized. NCBI's taxonomy places the organism in Eukaryota, Metazoa, Arthropoda, Collembola, Entomobryomorpha, Isotomidae. The record is from RefSeq and is a predicted model, not a curated record. The transcript has 3 exons.